This 374-nucleotide ribosomal RNA is filed under the name uncultured bacterium. Its description in RNAcentral is "bacterial SSU rRNA". It matches the Rfam family "Bacterial small subunit ribosomal RNA", at positions 30 to 404 of the family's 1533-position model. The record is from RNAcentral.
AUUGAACGCUGGCGGCAUGCUUUACACAUGCAAGUCGAACGGCAGCGCGGGGGCAACCCUGGCGGCGAGUGGCGAACGGGUGAGUAAUGCAUCGGAACGUAUCCUGUAAUGGGGGAUAACGUAGCGAAAGUUACGCUAAUACCGCAUACGCUCGAGAGAGGAAAGUGGGGGAUCGCAAGACCUCACGUUAUAGGAGCGGCCGAUGUCCGAUUAGCUAGUUGGUGGGGUAAAGGCCUACCAAGGCGACGAUCGGUAGCUGGUCUGAGAGGAUGAUCAGCCACACUGGGACUGAGACACGGCCCAGACUCCUACGGGAGGCAGCAGUGGGGAAUUUUGGACAAUGGGCGAAAGCCUGAUCCAGCCAUGCCGCGUGC